ACACAGACCGGAAGUAAAAACACAAGACACACAAGGGAAGAAGAAUACUACCAAAAUAAAACAGGAAGUGAUAACACCAAAACUACCACACUGCUAUUAUUAUUGAGUCAUAUCGUCAUUUAUUGCUUUGUGUAUGUGGGAGUGGGUGAGUGGGAGUAAUUGUUCUAUUGUUUAAUUGUGUGAAGCACUUUGUGCUACAUCUUGUUUGUAUGAAAAGUGCUAUACAAAUAAAGUUUGAUUGAUUGAUUAAUUGAUUGAACAGUUUAGGAAUGGUUUAAGCUAAUAUCAGCAGUUGUUUAGAUUGAAGACAGCCAGUAAGGGUAUCUAGCUUAUGUCAGGGAUACGCCAGGCUCCACACUCACCCAGACACAGCAUCACCUCACCACCAGUAUAAAGACUCCCACUCACCUCAGUCAGUGUCUGGUCUCGUUUAUACAAGGACUCAGUUUUCCUGCAGAACCAAACUACGUUGGACUCCCCGCUUGUACCUAUGUUAUCUACUUCUCCUGUACUCCCGUCUCCAAGACCUGUGUCGCCAGUACUCCAGUGUGCGACUACUGUUUGCCUCAUUGCUUUGUUGAGAAAUAAACAUCUCUUUCUCCACCUCGGUGUCUCGAGCCUGUCUGUCUGUAACAGAAGACCGGACCACGGAAGGCCGACCAGCAUGAGCGUCCCGGAUCCAUUUUGGGAGGCCGGCGGACUCCCUGAGUCAACACAGCAGCGCUCCGCCACCAGCCUCUCCACCAGUCUUCACUUCCGCCUCCAACACCAGCGCUUCACCGCCUAUAGGAUACGUCAUUGCAGCGACGCCUCCUUCUCCCUUCUCUGGCUCGGUGAGGGAGUGUGAAAGCUUUCUUGUGCAGUGCAACCUGGCCUUGGAGAGGCAGCCAUACCUAUACCCAACCAAGUGGUCCAAAAUAGCGUACAUCAUCUUUCAGCUCUAGGGGCGUACGCUACAAUGGGCAACAACUCUCUGGACCCAGAAUGGACCGGUAAUCCAAUCCUUAUCCAGCUUCCUGUCCCACUUCAAGGAGGUGUUCGGAGGAACAGCAGAUGGCACCUCCGCAGGGGAACGCCUCUACCACCUUUGGCAGGGUUCCUGCGCGGUGACGGACUAUGCCUUAAACUUCAGAACCCUCGCCGCGGCUAGUCGGUGGAGUGAGCAGGCCCUGAUCACUGCCUACCGUCAGGGAUUGGAUCCCCAGGUAAAACUGCAUCUCGCUGCGUACGAUGACAACAUCGGACUUGAGCAAUUCAUCCAGUUAUCUAGGAACCAGUUCCAACCAGUUCCCACAGUUCCAUGUUUUUGGCCAAGUAUGCCCAGAACUCACUCCGUCAACCUGCCACCGGACUCACUCCCUUCCAAUGCGGGCACGGCUACCCCCUCUCUUCCCGUGGUCGGGAGAACCAUCAGAGGUCCCAGCGGUCGACUACUGGUUCCGAGAGAGCGAGAGGGUCUCGCAGCCCAUCACCAGCUGCAAAGAGCGCUCUGCAGAAUGACAGCCGACCGGAGACGAUCCACCGCUCCUGAAUACCAACCUGGUCAGAAGGUCUGGCUGUCGACCCGAGACAUCAAGAUGCGCCUGCCCUGCAGAAAGCUCAGUCCCAGGUUCAUUGGUCCCUUCACCAUCACCAAGAAGAUCAACCAGAGCCUGGCGUAGCAGCAGAGCCCCCCCUGCCUCUCAUCCUGGACGACGGAACGGCAACAGCUUGGAGCAUAUUUUCAUUGUAUAACACAAGUUAAUCAGUAUCAUAAAUUAAUCAGCAUCAUAGCUAUAAUGUCAUAUGACAUUGUAUCUAUCAACAUUACCUAGCAAGGGCGUAGAAUUUGGUAGGGACAUGUCCCUACCAAUAUCCAGCGAUUACUGAAUUGUCCCUAGCAAUAAUUUGGAUCAAAAAAUUUAAAUAUUACCACUGUUGUCCGAUAGUGUCUAGUUAAUGUAUUUGACCUGAGACCCCCCCCCCGAGAGUGGAACAGUGGUAGGUCCCUCAUUUGUUACUGAGGACGUGAGACAAGGUGAGCUCAUUAAGUGGCUACUAAAAGUUAUUUCAAGCAAUCAUUUGACAUUGGAGCGCUAUUUAGCCCCUUUGUAUGAUGUCUAAUUAGUCUCAAAACCCGUGCACAUAAAAACCAGGCGCAAGCACGUGAUACGAGCGCACAGAACAGUAUCCGCGAGUGGAAAACCAUCCUCACAAGGGAGCAUUUCUGCUCCACGUGCAAAAAUGCGACCUGGGCUGUGACGAGCGCUCGCUCAACCCUCCCUAUGCUCUCGCAACUGCUCAACACUGGCUCACUUGGCAAGUUGACUUUGGAGGCGGAGACUCAACUUUCGUCUGAUUGGCUGGUGGGGGCAGCUUGUCUCGCCUAUCGUCACCUGCAUUCGAGGAUUACAGCCGGUCAUGGCCACGCACAGAUCCCGCUGAUGUUGAUGUCUCAUGUAGUGAUCCUGUGGUCAUCCUACUCCCUGGCUGUGCAGCUGACCCCUGCAGAUCCUCUCAUCUCAGGACAUCCUUCAACACUCCUCUGCAACAAUCACUCAGCAUUUACAGCUGUCUUUAUAAACAUGUUUCAGUACAAGUUUGUCCAUCAUUUAGCCAGUAACUAAUGUAUUGUAGUUACAAACAGCUGCAAAGUUGACACAUUCUAUGUCUUUUAUAGUGUUAGGCAGACACAUCCUUUGAUUUUGUACAUGUUUUUGGUAAAUAAAAAAACAAAUGGAAUGAUGC
Siniperca chuatsi (mandarin fish) is the source of this 2727-nucleotide long non-coding RNA. RefSeq lists it as uncharacterized. The record is from RefSeq and is a predicted model, not a curated record. The transcript is spliced from 3 exons. Lineage: Eukaryota; Metazoa; Chordata; Actinopteri; Centrarchiformes; Sinipercidae.